GAUGAAGAACGUAGCAAAAUGCGAUAAGUAAUGUGAAUUGCAGAAUUCAGUGAAUCAUCGAAUCUUUGAACGCACAUUGCGCCCGCCAGUAUUCUGGCGGGCAUGCCUGUUCGUGCGUCAUUUCAACCCUCAAGCACAGCUUGGUGUUGGGACUCGCGUUAAUUCGCGUUCCUCAAAUUGAUUGGCGGUCACGUCGAGCUUCCAUAGCGUAGUAGUAAAACCCUCGUUACUGGUAAUCGUCGCGGCCACGCCGUUAAACCCCAACUUCUGAAUGUUGACCUCGGAUCAGGUAGGAAUACCCGCUGAACUUAAGCAUAUCAAUAAGCGGAGGA
This 332-nucleotide unclassified non-coding RNA is filed under the name soil metagenome. RNAcentral's name for it is "partial contains 5.8S ribosomal RNA, internal transcribed spacer 2, and large subunit ribosomal RNA". The stretch from base 1 to 120 matches the Rfam family "5.8S ribosomal RNA", at positions 35 to 154 of the family's 154-position model. The record is from RNAcentral.